AUUGAACGCUGGCGGCAUGCUUUACACAUGCAAGUCGAACGGCAGCACGGGCUUCGUCCUGGUGGCGAGUGGCGAACGGGUGAGUAAUAUAUCGGAACGUACCCAGCAGUGGGGGAUAACGUAGCGAAAGUUACGCUAAUACCGCAUACGAUCUAUGGAUGAAAGCAGGGGACCGCAAGGCCUUGUGCUCCUUGAGCGGCCGAUAUCUGAUUAGCUAGUUGGUGAGGUAAAGGCUCACCAAGGCGACGAUCAGUAGCUGGUCUGAGAGGACGACCAGCCACACUGGAACUGAGACACGGUCCAGACUCCUACGGGAGGCAGCAGUGGGGAAUUUUGGACAAUGGGCGCAAGCCUGAUCCAGCAAUGCCGCGUGAGUGAAGAAGGCCUUCGGGUUGUAAAGCUCUUUUGUCAGGGAAGAAACGGUAGAGGCUAAUAUCCUUUGCUAAUGACGGUACCUGAAGAAUAAGCACCGGCUAACUACGUG
This 484-nucleotide ribosomal RNA is filed under the name uncultured bacterium. RNAcentral's name for it is "partial 16S ribosomal RNA". It matches the Rfam family "Bacterial small subunit ribosomal RNA", at positions 30 to 507 of the family's 1533-position model. The record is from RNAcentral.